GAGGCAGCAGUGGGGAAUAUUGCACAAUGGGCGGAAGCCUGAUGCAGCGACGCCGCGUGAGGGAUGACGGCCUUCGGGUUGUAAACCUCUUUCAGUAGGGAAGAAGCGUAAUUGACGGUACCUGCAGAAGAAGCGCCGGCUAACUACGUGCCAGCAGCCGCGGUAAUACGUAGGGCGCAAGCGUUAUCCGGAAUUAUUGGGCGUAAAGAGCUCGUAGGCGGUUUGUCGCGUCUGCCGUGAAAGUCCGGGGCUCAACUCCGGAAUCUGCGGAGGGUACGGGCAGACUAGAGUGAUGUAGGGGAGACUGGAAUUCCUGGUGUAGCGGUGAAAUGCGCAGAUAUCAGGAGGAACACCGAUGGCGAAAGGCAGGUCUCUGGGCAUUAACUGACGCUGAGGAGCGAAAGCAUGGGGAGCGAACAGGGAUUAGAUACCCUGGUUAGUCCAUGCCGUAAACGUUGGGCACUACUGUGUGGGGGACAUUCCACGUUUUUCCGCGCCGUAGCUAACGACAUUAC
Molecule: ribosomal RNA, 515 nt
Filed under: Pseudarthrobacter sp.
Lineage: Bacteria; Bacillati; Actinomycetota; Actinomycetes; Micrococcales; Micrococcaceae
Description: bacterial SSU rRNA
Rfam family: Bacterial small subunit ribosomal RNA
Source: RNAcentral